RNAcentral lists this unclassified non-coding RNA (262 nucleotides) under plant metagenome. RNAcentral's name for it is "partial contains small subunit ribosomal RNA, internal transcribed spacer 1, and 5.8S ribosomal RNA". The record is from RNAcentral.
UUUCCGUAGGUGAACCUGCGGAAGGAUCAUUAUUGUAUAACCGAGGUGCGAGGGCUGUCGCUGACCCGACAGGUCGUGCACGCCCGAGUGCCCUCACACACAUCCAUCUCACCCCUAUGUGCACCACCGCGUGGGUCCCCCUUUGGCUUGUUCGGAGGGGGGCUUACGUUUUCACACAAACUUUGUAUGCAGUGUAGAAUGUAUUUUUGUUUUUGCGAUCACGCAAUCAAUACAACUUUCAACAACGGAUCUCUUGGCUCUC